RNAcentral lists this transfer RNA (73 nucleotides) under Nocardia brasiliensis. RNAcentral describes it as "tRNA-Asn". It matches the Rfam family "tRNA". Rfam says of the family: Transfer RNA (tRNA) molecules are approximately 80 nucleotides in length. Their secondary structure includes four short double-helical elements and three loops (D, anti-codon, and T loops). Further hydrogen bonds mediate the characteristic L-shaped molecular structure. tRNAs have two regions of fundamental functional importance: the anti-codon, which is responsible for specific mRNA codon recognition, and the 3' end, to which the tRNAs corresponding amino acid is attached (by aminoacyl-tRNA synthetases). tRNAs cope with the degeneracy of the genetic code in two manners: having more than one tRNA (with a specific anti-codon) for a particular amino acid; and 'wobble' base-pairing, i.e. permitting non-standard base-pairing at the 3rd anti-codon position. The record is from RNAcentral. Lineage: Bacteria; Bacillati; Actinomycetota; Actinomycetes; Mycobacteriales; Nocardiaceae.
UGAUGUCUAGCUCAACUGGCAGAGCUGCGGAUUGUUACUCCGCGAGAUCCUGGUUCGAAUCCAGGGAUAUCAG